This is a non-coding RNA of Pimephales promelas (fathead minnow), 1402 nucleotides long. The record is from RefSeq and is a predicted model, not a curated record. Lineage: Eukaryota; Metazoa; Chordata; Actinopteri; Cypriniformes; Leuciscidae.
CCAUGUUUACUGUGGCGAGCGGGACGAGUGAGGGCCGUGUGGACUGGAAAACGACGCAAGUCAUGUUUACUGUGGCAAGCGGGACAAGUGAGGGCCACGUGGAGAACGAUGCGAGUGUUUACUGUGGCAAGCCGGACGAGUGAGAGCUGUGUGGAGAACGACGCGAGGCCGGUGGCAUGAUUACCGAGCAGCACCUGAGACGCCUUGAGGUUAUCGCCGUGACCCAUGGAGCUGAGGAAGACCACUGCCAGCACCACCAGUCCCAAAUGCAUAGUCCCUGCUGCCCAGUCACGCUGGGUCCCGCCUGCAGGCAGACAGAUCACAGCUGAGGGCCUCUUUCACGCUGUGGCAGGUGGAACAGAGUCGACUACAGUCGGUCGCCGAGCCCUUGGCUGGAGGCCUCUGCAAGUCCGAACAUGUUUGGGGAACAAACCAUAGCACUCAACAUGAUGAAGCUGAAGAUGAUGAAGUCUGGGUGCGGAGAGCCGAGGUGAGAUGAUGAGAUCUUGUGGACAACGUAAACUGCCCUUCAACCCAUGAAGCCCGGGGCAAAACCGAGAAAAGAGAGAGAAGAGUGUGGCGGGAGCUUGCCAGGAGAUCCUAACGUGAGUGAGCAACACAGCCCAGGAGCAUGUGUCUUAUUAGGGAUGCUGGGAGGAGGAGGGUGAGUGCCGAAAAAAACCCCAGAGAGAUGGAGAAAGGUUCUGGACUCCUACGCGUGACAACGCAUCCGUCAGUGCCAAGAUCUGCUGCGGAGAGACAGAGAAAAGGGGGCGAGCGAGGGAAGGAGGGAGUUAGAUGUGGAGAGGAGUGGGUGAAUGGGGGGAGAAAAAGCACAAUGAGACAUGUACAUAAAUCCGUACUUUAAGUCAGCGUGUCAAAAGAAAGUCCAAAUAUUUUGGAAGGGGAAGAAAUGCAAGUUUUUGAAAACUUAAAAAAAAGUACUUUUGCAUUUUCUGUAAACUGUCAUGAAAUGUAUCGAGGAAAAAGCGUCGGAAAGAAUAUAACAGCCUUACGGAGGGCUUACAUAACUGCACUCUUUCAUCUCUAUCACUGCUCUUUCUCAACGAAGAUCAGCAUUUCUGCGCUCUAAAUUUGUUAAAUUGAUUCAUGGAAGUCUGGUCUGGAACUAUAAAUGCGGACACAAUAGAUUGUGAAACAUAAUCUGAAACUGUUAUUUUGUCCGUUUUAACCACACAUUCCAGCCAUGCUUAUUUUUUUCCUUCACCAGAUAGACUCAUGAGCCGGGAAAGCAAACAAAAUGUUUCAUUUUAACUGUAAUUUCCCCAUUAUAAGACUGACGAGAGCUGUAUAGUCCGGCCACUAAAGCUAGAACUGAACUGAUCAGAAAUAGGUCACCGUGAAAAUAACCUAUAGUCGAUGCACUUCCAAAAGUGAGGAA